GAACCGUACGAACGUUAUUCGGAAUUACUGGGCUUAAAGGGUGCGUAGGCGGCUUGGGAAAGUUGGGGUGUGAAAGCCCUCGGGCUCAACCGAGGAAUGGCGCCCAAAAACUGCCAGGCUUGAGGGAGACAGAGGUGAGUGGAACUUAGGGUGGAGCGGUGAAAUGCGUUGAUAUCCUAAGGAACACCAGUGGCGAAAGCGACUCACUGGGUCUCUUCUGACGCUGAGGCACGAAAGCUAGGGGAGCGAACGGGAUUAGAUACCCCGGUAGUCCUAGCUGUAAACGAUGAGCACUGGGUCGGAGAGCCUUCCAUAGCUUUCCGGCCGAAGCGAAAGUGUUAAGUGCUCCGCCUGGGGAGUAUGGUCGCAAAGGCUG
Molecule: ribosomal RNA, 376 nt
Filed under: uncultured organism
Description: partial 16S ribosomal RNA
Rfam family: Bacterial small subunit ribosomal RNA
Source: RNAcentral